AGGUUCAUUAAGAAAAUUUUGAUCAAGUCAAUUACCUGGUUAGAGUAAACUAGGCAUGCACAACAUGUCCAUUUAAAAUACAAUACACUUUUAUUAAGAAAAAAUUGAUCAGUCAAUUACCUGGUUAGAAUAAACUAGACAGGCACAACAUGUCCAUUUAAAAUACAAUACACUUGCUCACAAAUCAGUGUGUUCAGAACUAACAGUCAAAAAGAAAUACUCGAAAGAUAACUGUAACAAAAAGAAACACGGUUUGCAGGCAAAUUUAAUCUAGUUACGAGCAUGUUGAGCUUAUAUAUCUGAAGAUAAAGAAUAAGAAGUCCAGUAUCUGCUCUGCACAAGUGAGUUCACUCGAAUAUAUAAGCCUCACAGCUGAUGC
This 379-nucleotide long non-coding RNA is filed under the name Solanum tuberosum (potato). RNAcentral's name for it is "long non-coding RNA (STUB_LNC004296)". Lineage: Eukaryota; Viridiplantae; Streptophyta; Magnoliopsida; Solanales; Solanaceae. The record is from RNAcentral.